Molecule: long non-coding RNA, 839 nt
Filed under: Homo sapiens (human)
Lineage: Eukaryota; Metazoa; Chordata; Mammalia; Primates; Hominidae
Description: HSALNT0159618
Source: RNAcentral
GCAACAUGGCAAAAAAACCCGUCUCUACCAAAAAUACAAAAAAUUGCUGGGCAUGGUGGCACAUGCCUGUAGUCCCAGCUACUCGGAGGGCUGAAGCGGGAGGAUUGCUUGAGCCCAGAAGGUCAAGUCUGCAGUGAGCCCUGAUCACACCACUGUACUCCAACUUGGGCAACAGAGUGAGACCCUGUCUCAAAAAAAUUAUUACUUUCUACUUUCUGAAUUAACAUGAAGGAGCAUAAAUAAAAUUUUGAAGAGGUUCAUGUGGUCAGAGGGGUAAACUGUCAUAUUCCAAAGAAAAGUGAAGAUAUCUUGAAGUAAAACUUCUUCCAAGUGAGCUGUGCUUAUUAAGUACCAAAUGGGAUCCAAUUUAUUUGCAGUAUUUAAUCUAAUGCAGUCAGAGGGCAUAGCAGUUCUGACGAAGUCUGAUGAAGGAGGAACUCUGUUUACUUCCACCCGCUCCUUCUCCCUGGAUUAAAACACCACGAAUUUUCUGCUCUUUGCUUUUCUUGAAUAAGUUACCAAAAAAGAGCAGAACUAAGUCAACACCAAACUGCCCUUUGGAUAAACAAGAUGGAGCAGAUUUAUUUACCUUGGAACAUGAUUUUGAAUUCAAGCCAUGAAGUACACUGGAGGAAUGCCUUACAUCUACUAAUUAUUCAUUUUGGAAUUCCAAUUUUGACUCAAGAUUUGAACCAUGUGGGUCCACUUAUGUAUGAAGAUUUCCUUCAUCUUCUGCCACCCAAGACAGCAAGACCAACCCCUCCUCUUCCUUAGCCCACUCAGUGGGAAGACGAUGAGGAUGAAGAACUUUAUGAUGAUCUACUUCUUCUUCAUGAAUA